GUUCCAAUAGUUCAGCUGGAUAGAACGCUAGCCUCCGACGCUAGAAAUCACAGGUUCGAAUCCUGUUUGGAACACCA
This 77-nucleotide transfer RNA is filed under the name Bacillota bacterium. RNAcentral describes it as "tRNA-Arg". It matches the Rfam family "tRNA". Rfam says of the family: Transfer RNA (tRNA) molecules are approximately 80 nucleotides in length. Their secondary structure includes four short double-helical elements and three loops (D, anti-codon, and T loops). The record is from RNAcentral. Lineage: Bacteria; Bacillati; Bacillota.